This 515-nucleotide ribosomal RNA is filed under the name uncultured bacterium. Its description in RNAcentral is "partial 16S ribosomal RNA". It matches the Rfam family "Bacterial small subunit ribosomal RNA", at positions 28 to 523 of the family's 1533-position model. The record is from RNAcentral.
GAUGAACGCUGGCGGCGUGCCUAAUACAUGCAAGUCGAGCGAAUGGAUUAAGAGCUUGCUCUUAUGAAGUUAGCGGCGGACGGGUGAGUAACACGUGGGUAACCUGCCCAUAGGACUGGGAUAACUCCGGGAAACCGGGGCUAAUACCGGAUAAUAUUUUGAACUGCAUGGUUCAAAAUUGAAAGGCGGCUUCGGCUGUCACUUAUGGAUGGACCCGCGUCGCAUUAGCUAGUUGGUGAGGUAACGGCUCACCAAGGCAACGAUGCGUAGCCGACCUGGGAGGGUGAUCGGCCAAACUGGGACUGAGACACGGCCCAGACUCCUACGGGAGGCAGCAGUAGGGAAUCUUCCGCAAUGGACGAAAGUCUGACGGAGCAACGCCGCGUGAGUGAUGAAGGCUUUCGGGUCGUAAAACUCUGUUGUUAGGGAAGAACAAGUGCUAGUUGAAUAAGCUGGCACCUUGACGGUACCUAACCAGAAAGCCACGGCUAACUACGUGCCAGCCGCCGCUGUAA